AUGAACGCUGGCGGCGUGCCUAAUCCAUGCCAGUCGCGCGAACAGACGAGGAGCUUGCUCCUCUGACGUUAGCGGCGGACGGGUGAGUAACACGUGGAUAACCUACCUAUAAGACUGGGAUAACUUCGGGAAACCGGAGCUAAUACCGGAUAAUAUAUUGAACCGCAUGGUUCAAUAGUGAAAGACGGUUUUGCUGUCACUUAUAGAUGGAUCCGCGCCGCAUUAGCUAGUUGGUAAGGUAACGGCUUACCAAGGCAACGAUGCGUAGCCGACCUGAGAGGGUGAUCGGCCACACUGGAACUGAGACACGGUCCAGACUCCUACGGGAGGCAGCAGUAGGGAAUCUUCCGCAAUGGGCGAAAGCCUGACGGAGCAACGCCGCGUGAGUGAUGAAGGUCUUCGGAUCGUAAAACUCUGUUAUUAGGGAAGAACAAAUGUGUAAGUAACUAUGCACGUCUUGACGGUACCUAAUCAGAAAGCCACGGCUAACUACGUG
This 496-nucleotide ribosomal RNA is filed under the name uncultured bacterium. RNAcentral's name for it is "partial 16S ribosomal RNA". It matches the Rfam family "Bacterial small subunit ribosomal RNA", at positions 29 to 507 of the family's 1533-position model. The record is from RNAcentral.